This 6389-nucleotide long non-coding RNA is filed under the name Gossypium barbadense (sea-island cotton). RNAcentral's name for it is "long non-coding RNA (GBAR_LNC017723)". Lineage: Eukaryota; Viridiplantae; Streptophyta; Magnoliopsida; Malvales; Malvaceae. The record is from RNAcentral.
GAUCAGUGACUACCAAAAUUUUAUGUGAAGACCAACUAUAGUUGUUUUGGAGGAGUGAUAAAGUAGAGAUUAGUGUUGAGUACAAGAAAUUGAGGUAAGAAAUGAUAAAUUUUCAUGAAAUACAUGCUAGUUUUACUUGAAUAACAUAGAUUAUGAUAUGUGGGUAUGAUUUUAAUGUGUAAAUAUUGUAUGUUUUGAUAUGGAAAAUGAAGAAAAAGUGAAGAAAUGUGGGAAAUAAGUGGAGAAUUAAAGCAAGUGAGGAGCCAAAGAAAGAAGAAGAAGAAGAAGAAGAAGAAGAAGAAGAAGAAGAAGAAGAAGAAGAAGAAGAAGAAGAAGAAGAAGAAAGCUUGAUACCAAACUUUGAGUUGUAAGUACAACUAAAGUUUCAUUUAUUUUAAACAUGUUAAUUGUUAAGGUCUAUUAAGUGAAUAAAAGUCUUGUUAUGAUAUUUAAUUAUAUACUUACUUGAAGAGUAAGACAUGAUAAGGGUUAAAUAUACGUAAAUAAUGAAUUCAUUUUAUUUACUAAGUAAUAUGUAAAAGAGAAAAUGAAAGAAAAGUAAGUAAAAGGACUAAAUUGUAAAAAGAUGAUAAAGUUGAUGGAAUUGUAACCAACAUAAGUAAAUGAGUAUACGAAGUAAAAUAUGAGAAUGAUUGAUGUGUGGAAUGAUAUAGUAAUAUUAUGAGUAUAUUUGAUGAAGUAUGAAAAAGAAAGGACUAAAUUGUAAGAUAUGUAAAAGUGACAUGUGAUAAAUUUGAUAAGAAUCAAUAGGGAAUUAUGGAAAUUUUAUUAAAUUAUGAUAUAUGCUAUGUGUAUUAAAAAGAAUGAAAGUUCGGAAUAUUGUGUUACAGUUACAAUGACUAAUUUGAAAUAAAUGUAAAGUAUUCGAAUUCUGUUCUGAAAUGUGAAAAUAUAAUCGACUAUGCCCAAUUAGACAAGAUAAGAAAUAGUGGGAUGUAGAUGGCAUGCCAUUAAGGAAGAUUUAGUGCGCUAUCUAUUUAUGCACUUUGGUGUUGUCCUGUUACACGUUUCGACGUUGUUUUACUCUGUUCUGUAUAUCUUAUGUGUUCUGUUAAGUCUACUGGGCUUCUAUAAAAAGGUAAAAGGUUUCCUAUGUUAAAUGUUAAAGUAUAGUAUCUGUUAAAUGAAGGAAUAAGGAUUAAAUAUAUUGAAAUGGGACUAAAUUGUGAUACGAUAAACAAUAGCAAUAGAUGAAAACAUGUAACAAUUGAAUGGUAAGUUAAAGUUAAUUAUGAAUACAAGUUCUGAAUAAUAUUAUGAAAAUGAUCAUAAAAAAAUUAUUUUUUUAGUGUGGAUAAAAUGUUAUUUAUCUUUAGAUUGUGCUUAUUAAGCUAGCAAUAGCUUAACAAGUGUUUUAUAUGUGUAGGUAAAGAGUAGAAGUAAGGAUUUUUGAAGACCAGAAGUAUCUCAUCACAUCACAUCAGCUAAUUCAAGGAAAAGAGUAAAUUUUCUUCUCUGUUUUGUUUCUAUAAAUGGCGUGUACCUAGGUAUGUUUAAAGGUUAAAAAAGCUUGAGGGACUUAAGUGUAAAACUUAUACUUGUUUAAAUUUGUGGUAAAACUUACUUGAUUAUGAGCAAUAUAUUAGAUUAUAAGGAAUUGAGCUUGAAAUGCAUAAUGGAUAUGUGAUUUGGUUGGUUUAAAUUGUCAAUUAAACAAGGGCUAGAAUGGGUAAAAUAUGAAGGAUUAAUCUAGUAAAUAAACCUUUGUUUGAAAAAGAACACAGAACCUCAUUUUGGUACCGAUACUAGGUAUAAAGUAUCGAUACUGAAGAGGAAGUAUCGAUACCUUAUCCUAUGUAUAAAUACUUUGGGUACUUUUUCUGAAUUUUUCAAAUUCCAAAGCUCAAAACGGUAUCGAUACCCAAGCCAAUGUAUCGAUACCACUGGUAAAGGUAUCGAUACCUAUCCCCUAAAACAACUCAAAAAUUUCAAAAAUACUGAUAUGUGAAGUUAUUUGAAGAUUUAACUAGUAUUAUUCAAAUUGUUUCGAAAAUGUUGUGUUAGUAAAAUCAAAUUGAUUGCGGUAAAUGAAUCGGUUUAUUAGUUCCAGACAUGGUUGCUCUGCCAUCAAAUGUGACAUUCCUAUACUGUGACCCAAUGAUUAAGUCGGGUAUAGGAAUGUUACAUUUAGUGGUACCAGAGCCUAAGUUUUUUAAUCCUAAGGACGAAAAUGAGUCUAGAGGUACAUGCCAUUUGAUAUAUUUAUGUGAUAAAAUGUGAAUUUUGCUUAUUGAUAAUGUUAAACUAUGUUAUAUAGAUUGAAUAUGUCAUAAAAUACUAGGGAAACUUCGAGUAAAGAAGUAGAGAGUAAGGCUUCUAAUUCUAAUAGAGAAGAACAUAUAUCGAGAUAACCUGUAAGAACAAGAUCAGAACAAAGACAAUAAGUCUAAUAGAGAAAGAAGAAAUGAACCAGAAUUAGUAAAUGUUAGAGGACAGACACAAGAAGCAUUCUUUCAAACUUUAACUCAACUUCUGCAACAAUUUAUAAGAAGUAAUGUCCCUUUAGUUCCUCCUCCAUCUCUUUCCCCUUCUACACAAGAACCUUGGCUCUAACAACAAGCUUCUGUUUCAAGUCAACGACCUCCUCUCAAGAGAGUUAGAAAGCAUGGAGCUAAAGACUUUCGAGGUAAGAAACAGAUGAUCCUAUUAUAAUUGAGUACUGGUUAGAAAACAGUUAGAGAAUAUUUGAAUAAUUAGAAUGCUCAGAUGAAGAUAAGCUAAGAUGUGUUGUGUCAUUACAUGAUAUUUCUUUUUAUCAGAAUUUAAAAAUAAUUUUGUAGGUCGGUUGUAUUUGGAAAACAAGAAGCGAGAACUCAUUGAAUUGAAGGAAAAUUAAAUGAAUGUAUCAAAAUAUGAGAAGGAAUUUGUGAGAUUGAGUAAAUAUGCUCAAAAACUGGUGACUACUGAAUCUGAUAUGUAUAGAAGAUUUGAGUGGGGGUUGAAUGAAGAUCUUUAUGUAUAUGUUGUGGGGCUGAAUUUUGAAGAUUUCUCAUCUCUAGUUGAAAGAGCACAAAGAAUAGAAGAAGGGAUGAAAAGACAGAGUGAUAAGAACUUGGGACAAAGAGUAGCAACAAGUUCUAAAGCUCCAUCUGUAACAAAGAAAGUAAGAGAUCUUCGAGAGUCUGGAAACAUAUCUUUUACUUCUGGGCAGAGAUCCAAAUGACAAGAAAGAUGAAGUCAACAAACUACAUUAGUUACUAGUACUAAGGGAGUUAGAAGAAGGCCUAUUCCGACAUGUGAACAUUGUGGCAAAUCAUAUUAUAGAGAAUGACGAUUGAUUACCGGAGCUUGCUUUAGGAUUGUCCAAUAAUGACAAAGAAUAAUGUUGAAUACCCUAUGAACAUUGCCAAAGUUCAGUCAAAAGGUAAACAAUCAGGAACAGUAAGUGAGAAACAUGGAAAAGAAGCAACAAAUCGAUCAAAGUUUCAAAUUAUACCACGAGCUUAUGCCAUUCAAACUUGAGGAGGAAAAGAUGAUGAUCUUGAUAUGAUGACGGGUAUUAUUUCUUAAAUUGAUACUUUUAUGCUUGCAUUAAUUGAUAAUGAUUUUGUUCAUUUAUACAUAUUAGUGCUGCAUUGAUAAAAGCAUCAUUAGUGGAGUAUGCUAGAAAGGAUGAUCUGAAUAUUAAUCUUUCUGGGUGAAGUGAAAUGGAAGGAAAAACAUAUGAAUAGUGGUUUUGAGAAGUUUUAGAUUAUGAACUCUUUAUUAGUCUUACGGAUUUAUUGCCGUACUUGACAUGAUUUGAACAUUGGAAUGUGGAUAAAGACUUGGUUGAAAUUUUAUUUCUGCUUGGAAAUUCUUUCUAUAAUUCGAUGGUUAGCUUAAAUUAGUAAAUCAAAUACAGGUAUAGAAAUUAUAUUAUUGAAUCUGGGGAUUUUUAGACUACAUGAGAAUUCUGAAGUAAAUGGUAUUAAUGGUCAGUGAUUUGAAAAUGAUUUAUGAUAUUUCAUGCAUGAUAUUGGAAAGUACUGGUUUAAAUUAUUAUAUGUGAUAGCUUUAGAAGAUACUGAAGGCAUUUGGAAAAGUUUGUAUAUUGAGAAAAAUCUAGCCGGGAUUUUAGUAUCGCUUUGUAAAAAUUUCUUUUAAAUUUGAUGAAUUAGUUUAAAUUAAUGGUUCAGAAAUUGAGAGACAAGUUUAGAAAUUACAUUAUUGAGUCUGGAGAUUAUUGAACUGCAUGAGUAUUUUUCAAAAAUUUCAAAUUUUGAAGCUCAAAACGGUAUUGAUACUUGACAUGGGUAUUGAUACCUGAUGUGUGUCACGUUACUAACUAAAUGUAACACCCCGGAAUUUGGGGUUAGAAGUUUUGAGAUUUGUGUUUAGGGUCAGUGAGUAGGUUGAUUGAGUUGAUUUUCACGUUUUAAUGUUAGGAUGAGCUUGUUGGUUCGGUGGUUGGAUGUGUGUCCUUUAGGUUAUGGGUUCAAAUCCUCAUGUGUGUUUGAGGAAUUAUUUUUUUUUUGAGUUUUGUUUUUUAAGUUAUAUAUAUAAUUUAUUUUAUUGCAUUUUUAUUUUUGGAAAAAAAUAAGUUGUUUCUAAAAUUCUUUUGAACGUUCUCUUUCCCCAUUUUUUUUUGGUUUCCUCUCUUUUUCCACAUUCUUGCUAUUCUUUUUGGUUAUUCUACCUUUCUCUCUUUUGUGGUUGGUGAAUUAAUUACCGCUGUAUUUUUGUUCUCUAAACAAAUUUUGGGUUUUAGUAUCGACGUUGUUGGCUGAUUAUCCUUAUGUGUUACGUUUGAUUGGGUGCGAAAUUGGGUUUUCGAAUGGUUUGGUGGAGCGAAUCGAGCAGUUCUCGGUGCUUGUUAUUGCAUUCUAAGGUGUGUGUUCUGAAACUGUUCAAUUUCGGUAUCAAAUUGUUGUUGGAUCCUAUGGAAUUCGGCAACUUGUUGUAUGUUCCUGAAACUGUUGAUUUUGGGUAUUGGAUUACAUGUUAUUCUAUAAAUUCUAGUAUAAUUCUGAGUUACUAAGUGUUGGGGGCCAUUUUGAUGUCAAAACCAUGAUUUUUAGCCUGUUUCAGUGUGGUUUCGUGACCACACUGGUGGUAACAUGGGCGUGUACCGCACACGGGGCGGUCCACACGGCCUUGUGAAAUUUAUAAUUAGGGUUUUUGGGUGAUUUUUGGUGCCACAUGAUCUUGUGGGUACAAUUUGGGGAUUUUAUCGAUUUUCACACGGGCGUGUGAGAUUUCCACACGAUCAUGUCCACUCUACACUUAAUUUUAGCACUUUUAGACAGUGAGUUACAUGAGCUGCUUACACGGGCGUGUGUGGCCUUCAUAUGGGCGUGUGAGCUGGGCACUUCCAUACAGCCGGGACACACGAUCGUGUGGCUCUAUUUUGUCAAUUUUUAUACUGUGUUUGUUUUUGUUCUGAUUAUGAUUCUGUGUGUUCCGACCCUUGACUAGGUCUUAGUAAGGGUGGUCGAGACUUUGUUUCGGCCUAGAUAUGUGCGUUAUUGGCAAUCAUAGCUCUAAUUAAGCGAUUCGAUUGAGUGUUAAUUGAUGUUAUGUUAUAUCUAAUUCUGAUUCUAGGCAUUUGAAUGUGUGCAUUUUUUAUUUCAUAUUUUGUUUCUGUAAGUUUGUCUAUGAAUGGUGUGCAUUUUGCAUUUGCAUUAAUCUUUUUGGGUUGGGUUGUGAAGAGAAGGAAGAUUAAUUCUGAUCUGGCAGUUUAACUACAACUUAUCGGUACAGCGAUUUACCGCAAUACACUGUACUGCAUAUACGCCAGCCUUGCUACGUAUUAUUAUCUGAGUGGCUUAGUCCACAUACAUGGUGUGUAGCGCUGGAUGGGCCUUUCGAGGUCCUAUGUGGUGUAUUUGGUUGGAUGAGCUUAUAUGUGGUGUAUUUGGUUGGAUGAGCUUAAACAACUCUUUUGGGGUGUGAUCGAGGGAUGAAGAGGUUUUUUGGUUGGACGGGUGGGGUUUUUUUUAUUGCUUAUUGCAUUCAUUUCGUAUUUUGUCUGUAUGUCUGGUUACGAGACUAACUGUUUAUAGAUCAAGGUGUUUCAGUACUGAUACGUUUGAUUUGUUUGUGAAGACUAUUCGUAUAUCGGAUUGCCAUUGAGAUAUUUUUUUUAUUGUGACACUUUGGUGUUCAUUUUUUUGUCGUUUUCGAAGUCACAUUGAGCUCGUGUAGCUCACCCCCUUAGUUGAUUCCUUUGCAGGUACCCUCAUUUUCUAUAGCUGGACUUGGAAUGCUGGAGGUCUCGGAGUGAUAUGUUCUACACGGACUAAUAAAACGACUUUUAAAACUUUUUAAAUUUGUGAACUGUUUAGGACUGUAAACAUCUAUAAAGACUGUGGUACAAUCAAAUUUUGGAUUUUCGUAAAUAGUUUUGUUUUUAAUUCUAGAAACUUGAAACUUUACUUCUGAACGCC